Molecule: long non-coding RNA, 407 nt
Filed under: Lathyrus oleraceus (garden pea)
Lineage: Eukaryota; Viridiplantae; Streptophyta; Magnoliopsida; Fabales; Fabaceae
Description: Pisum sativum (pea) long non-coding RNA (PSAT_LNC008205)
Source: RNAcentral
GUAGGUUAAGACUUGGAGUAAGGAGUAUUAUUCUCAUUGAUAAUUUCUAAUAAAAAAAACUAAUGGGGAAUAUUUCUUUCAACUAAAUUCUCUUUCACUUUUGAUUUCCAGUUUUCUUUGAGUACUCUGUUAUUUUUUUUAAAUUUUUUUUUCAAGUUUGUUGAUUUCCAACUCACUUGUUUUUCUUUCUUUUUUCAAAUUUGUAAUCAUUCAUUUGAUUCAUUCAAUUGCUAAUUGAUACCCCAAACUUAUUGGUUGUUAUUCCAACAACAACCUCAAACUUAAAUUCAACACAUCCUUGAAACAUAAUGCUUCUACUCCAAGUAGGGUAGAUAAAUAAUUAGGAUAAGGUUUACACAUAUGGUUAAAAAGAAACAAAACAAAAAUUGGCUCAAUGGGGUUUUGCA